RNAcentral lists this ribosomal RNA (253 nucleotides) under uncultured bacterium. Its description in RNAcentral is "partial 16S ribosomal RNA". It matches the Rfam family "Bacterial small subunit ribosomal RNA", at positions 524 to 776 of the family's 1533-position model. The record is from RNAcentral.
UACGUAGGGUGCGAGCGUUGUCCGGAAUUAUUGGGCGUAAAGAGCUCGUAGGCGGUUUGUCGCGUCUGCCGUGAAAGUCCGGGGCUCAACUCCGGAUCUGCGGUGGGUACGGGCAGACUAGAGUGAUGUAGGGGAGACUGGAAUUCCUGGUGUAGCGGUGAAAUGCGCAGAUAUCAGGAGGAACACCGAUGGCGAAGGCAGGUCUCUGGGCAUUAACUGACGCUGAGGAGCGAAAGCAUGGGGAGCGAACGGG